CGCCCAGUUAAAGACUCACCAACACACCAGCUGCUGCUUCCAGCUCUGUGAUCGACAGGAUCCUCUCUUUAAUGACUCCUCCUCCAGCUAGUCUCCAGUCUGUAGUCUGGAUUCUCCUGAAGAUCACUCAGCAGCUUUACUCCUGAAUCCUGCAGCUCGUUGAAGCUCAGGUCCAGCUCUCUGAGAUGGGAGGGGUUGGACUUCAGAGCUGAGGCCAGAGAAGAACAGCUGAUCCCUGACAAACUGCAGCUCCACAA
Molecule: long non-coding RNA, 257 nt
Organism: Labrus mixtus (cuckoo wrasse)
Lineage: Eukaryota; Metazoa; Chordata; Actinopteri; Labriformes; Labridae
Exons: 2
Source: RefSeq, a predicted model, not a curated record